ACUCCAGACUCCUACGGGAGGCAGCAGUGGGGAAUAUUGCACAAUGGGGGAAACCCUGAUGCAGCGACGCCGCGUGAAGGAUGAAGUAUUUCGGUAUGUAAACUUCUAUCAGCAGGGAAGAAAAUGACGGUACCUGAGUAAGAAGCCCCGGCUAACUACGUGCCAGCAGUCGCGGUAAUACGUAGGGGGCAAGCGUUAUCCGGAUUUACUGGGUGUAAAGGGAGCGUAGACGGCAGUGCAAGUCUGGAGUGAAAGGCGGGGGCUCAACCCCCGGACUGCUCUGGAAACUGUACGGCUGGAGUGCAGGAGAGGUAAGUGGAAUUCCUAGUGUAGCGGUGAAAUGCGUAGAUAUUAGGAGGAACACCAGUGGCGAAGGCGGCUUACUGGACUGUAACUGACGUUGAGGCUCGAAAGCGUGGGGAGCAAACAGGAUUAGAUACCCGCGUAA
RNAcentral lists this ribosomal RNA (448 nucleotides) under uncultured bacterium. RNAcentral describes it as "bacterial SSU rRNA". It matches the Rfam family "Bacterial small subunit ribosomal RNA", at positions 328 to 793 of the family's 1533-position model. The record is from RNAcentral.